GCACAUACAUCGUGAGCUGUGAACUCAGAUUGUACGACGAAGCCCGCACAGUGUAUGCCCGGCUAAAGACUCCUGGAUAGAUGUUGAAAUGUCUUCAAAUAACUUAGUGAAAGCCAGGUUGCUGUCUGAUUUAAGCUUGCUUUGUAAUUCAGCACUUAGCUUUACUCAUUAACAGCUACCCAAUCAUUUAUACUGGAAAAUUCAUAUAUGGAAUGUUAAGAAGCCUUUUGUGUAAUUUUAUAUUAUUUUUAGAGAGAUUACUAAAAAUAAAACUAUUGUAAAGGACCACUCUUUCCCUCAAGAUGUUAAAAAAAUGUUACACCAGUAUGAAUAUUAUCUUGAUAACUGAAACCAAAUUCUCUUCUUGACAUAACCCUCUCCUUUUAUCUGGGCUUGGGACCAGCACCAGGAGCACAUUAGGACUGUGGGCCCCUUGUGGCAGGAUUAUUAUGUGUGUGUGUGUGUGUGUGUGUGUGUGUGUGUGUGUGUGUGUGUGUGUGUGUGUGUGUGUGUGUGUGUGUGUGUGUGUGUGUGUGUGUGCGUGUGUGUGUGUGUGUAUAUAUGAAGUGUAAUGGAGGUAUGUGUAAAGGUGUUUUGGAUUUUUUUUAGAAUUUUUUUAAAUAAAUUUUUGUUUGUAUCAUCAAUAAAUGUUUGUAUUUAUAAUAAAUAUAUAUUUAUUGUAUAAAUACAUUUGAGUGUGAUGUAAGAAGACAAAGUAAGGGUGGGCUAGCCGGAGCACCCGGAGAGAACCCACACAGGCACGGGAGAGUAUGGCAGCUCCAUGCAGAAAGGUCUCCUUCUACAAGGGAACAGCACUGACCACUGCUCCACCGUGCAGCCCCACUCUGUUUACCAGGAUCUAAUCAAUACCAAGGUAGGAAUCUACCUUAGAAAAAGACCCUGGUAUGGAGGCAGUACUUUUUUAUUUAAAGGGAACCAUAGAGUUUUAUGGAGGGUGAGGGCUAAAUAUUAUGGACUGGAUUAUGGAUUUAGUGAAUGGGUGUGGGGAGUUAAGGGUUAAAGGAAGGGUUAAGGGUAACGGUUAUAGGGAAGGGGGGUGGGGGUGUUGGGGGGUAAUUGUAAAGCGUGUAGGUGAUAAGGUUUGAGAUCUGGGGCUCAGUAAAUAUUUUUUCAGUUUUAAGUUUGUUUGGAGGACAGUUUCUUGAGGUUUAGCAGAAAUUAUUUUUCUGACUGAUGGCAUUGAAAGAGGUUGAAAAUUCUUUUCCUUAAAGAUUUAUUUUUUGGUUUUCUUUCUUGGGAUCUUUCAGUCUCCUGUUGCAGAUUUUUGAACUCCUCCAUAAGGCUCUCUGUUAAUCUUUUCUUCUCCUCCUCCAUCUCUGUCAGAGCCUUCUUAGCGUUUGCCACUGUCUCUUGAAGGCAGGACUUCUCUGUUUGCCACAGCUGCCUUUCACAAUGCAGAACCUCCUGAAGGUGUUUCAUAGCUGCUUCCAUAUCUCUAAGAGUGUUCUGCUGCUCUGUCAGGAGACUGGACUUUUCCUGGGCCCAGACCUGUGUUUGGUUCUUCACAUCUUGUUCCAUCUUGAGCAAAACAGCUUUUAUGUCAUUGGUUUCCUGCUCUUUCUGAGCUAAGCAGAUCUCAGCCUCCUUUGUUCUGGCUGUCUCAGCAAGCAGACUAAUUUCCAGAUCCAUGACUUUUCUUGCAGAAGCUUUCCCCUGCUCUAACUCAGCUUCCUGUAACUCCAACUGCUUUUUCAGCUGCUCACACUCAUCUCUUUGUUGUUGGUUGGACAUAAAAUGGGAUUUUUCUUCCUCCAACUGCUGCCGCUGUUCCUCCAGAUCUUUCUGCAUUUUUUCCAUUGCAGCCUUGAUUUCACUGGUUUCCUGCACUUGUUGGGCUAAGCAGAUCUCAGCCUCCUUUGCAUUUGCUGUCUCAGCAAGAACAGCUGCCUCCGUUUUCUGAGGCAAGACAGUGAGAUUCUUAAUUUGUUCUAAUAAUUUGGUGUUUUCUUGUUGAAGUGUUGCUACCCUCUCUCUUGUGAACCUUAACUUGAGCUCAGCGUCCCUUAACCAUUGAGCUGAUAGUUCAGUCUCCUCACUAAGUGCUGCGAUCUGCUCAUCUUUUAAGCUCAUGCAGAUCUCAGCUUCCUCCACACUUUGCUUGAGAGCAGUUACCGUGGACUCCAGCUGUCUAGCUUCCUCGUCGGUAUAUUUUGGCAUUGUUUCGUGCUCAGCAUGCGUCUUCUGGUUUGUUGAUAAUUUGAUGUUUUCUUGUUUAAGUGCUGCGAUCUCCUUAUCUUUUGAGCUCAUGCAGAUAGCAGCUACCUGCAACCUUUGCUUCAAAGCAGUUGCCGCAGUCUCCAGAUGCCAGGCUUUUUCGUUGGCAUCUCUACGCACUACCUCCAUGUUGUGAAGAUCAGCAGCUUGUCUCUGCAAUGCUGUGAUCAGCUCGUCUUUUGAGCUGCUGUGAUCAUCUCAUCUUUUGAGCGUAAGUAGGUCUCUGCUUCCUGCACCUUUUUCCUUUCAGCAGUUAGCUCCGACUCCAGCUGCCUAGCUUUCUCAUCAGUAUAUCCAAACCCUGCAUCCAUUUUCUGAGGCACAGCAACAUUUUUCUUAGUUGUUUCUGAUAACUUGAUGAUUUCUUGUUGCAGUGCUGUGAUCAUCUCAUCUUUUGAGCGUAAGUAGGUCUCUGCUUCCUGCACCUUUUUCCUUUCAGCAGUUAGCUCCGACUCCAGCUGCCUAGCUUUCUCAUCGGUAUAUCCAAACCCUGCAUCCAAAGACACAGCAACAUUUUUCUUAAUUGUUCCUGAUAACUUGAUGAUUUCUUGUAGCGAAGCUAUGAUCCUCAAAUCUUUUGAGCUUAAACAGAUCCCAGCCUUCUGACCCUUUUUCCUUUUAGGAGUUAGCUCAGACUCCAGCUGCCUAGCUUUCUCGUUGGUAUGUUGACGAGCUUCCUCUAAUUUGUUGAGCUCAGCAGUGAGAUCAUUGGUAUGUUGGGCUAAACUCCUGUUUUGAUGUUGAAGUUCUGUGAUCAACCAGUCUCUGGAGCUUAAGGCUCUGUGAAACUCAAUCUUAGAAAUCAUAUUACGUCCGGUCUUUUUGUCAGCUCCAUGUCCUCCAUGAACAGCUUUCUCACUUUGAAGUUGUGAAAGUGGAUUUCUUCCUGGAUUUUCAGGCUUUGCAGCUUUAGCUGGUCCCUCAACACGAGCUGGGGCUGGUUGCAAUGGCUUCACCACAGGCUUAGAAGCACAAACUUGACUCAAAGUGGGUCCCGCUGCUAUUUUUGGAGCAUUUUCUGGCUUUUUCUUACUUGUAAGAACUUGAGCCCAAGUCACAUUUCCAGAAGGGUUUGUAGCUGUGCUACCAGAUGUAACUCCCAUAGUAUUACCUGAUUUAGAUAUGGUUGACAUGGCGGCUAUAACGUUUAAUUCACCUGAUUUGCAAAUGAAAAAGGACGAAUUGGUCAAUUCCAGCCUUAGUUGCUGAUUCAAGUCAGCCUCCUAAGGAAAACAAUAAAAUUGUUGGUUGGAUUAAAACACAAAGCUUUGUUUUAAACUAAAAGCUUAUUUUUCUGAUAACUGGGCAGAUUUGUUCUGUGGAAAAGUCUUUACUUUUCUAAUUACAAGGAGUUAACUCAAGAGCUGCACACCUUACAGGAGAAUUCCGGAAAUUGAAUGCUUGGUAGUAUUCUGAUGUCUGUGAUGAUGUCAUCAGAAUUCUAAACUAUCUGGGCGGGAACUAUAAACUCCGCCCACAUAAGUCAAGCCUGGCUGUAGGUUCUACAUACUCUGAAAAAAUAAUUCAACAGUUUUUGGCUUUUCCUUAAUCAUAUUUAGUUACUUUAACUUUUUUUAUUAUUAUUUUAGCAGGGUAGGACAUAAAACAA
Molecule: long non-coding RNA, 3844 nt
Organism: Cyprinodon tularosa
Lineage: Eukaryota; Metazoa; Chordata; Actinopteri; Cyprinodontiformes; Cyprinodontidae
Exons: 3
Source: RefSeq, a predicted model, not a curated record